UUCGUAGGCGGUGCGGCAAGUCGGAAGUGAAAUCCCUGGGCUUAACUCAGGGGCUGCUCCCGAAACUGCCGUGCUCGAGUGCGGGAGAGGCGAGUGGAAUUGCAGGUGUAGCGGUGAAAUGCGUAGAUAUCUGCAGGAACACCCGUGGCGAAGGCGGCUCGCUGGACCGCAACUGACGCUGAGGAACGAAAGCUAGGGGAGCAAACAGGAUUAGAUACCCUGGUAGUCCUAGCCCUAAACCAUCAGGACUCGGGGUGCAUCCCGUUCGGGGUGCGUCCCGGAGCUAACGCGUUAAGUCCUGCGCCUGGGGAGUACGGUCGCAAGGCUGAA
Molecule: ribosomal RNA, 330 nt
Filed under: uncultured bacterium
Lineage: Bacteria
Description: bacterial SSU rRNA
Rfam family: Bacterial small subunit ribosomal RNA
Source: RNAcentral